AACGAACGCUGGCGGCAUGCCUAACACAUGCAAGUCGAACGAGACCUUCGGGUCUAGUGGCGCACGGGUGCGUAACGCGUGGGAAUCUGCCCUUGGGUUCGGAAUAACUUCGGGAAACUGAAGCUAAUACCGGAUGAUGACGUAAGUCCAAAGAUUUAUCGCCCAAGGAUGAGCCCGCGUAGGAUUAGCUAGUUGGUGAGGUAAAGGCUCACCAAGGCGACGAUCCUUAGCUGGUCUGAGAGGAUGAUCAGCCACACUGGGACUGAGACACGGCCCAGACUCCUACGGGAGGCAGCAGUGGGGAAUAUUGGACAAUGGGCGAAAGCCUGAUCCAGCAAUGCCGCGUGAGUGAUGAAGGCCUUAGGGUUGUAAAGCUCUUUUACCCGGGAUGAUGAAUGACAGUACCGGGAGAAUAAGUCCCGUCAUC
This 427-nucleotide ribosomal RNA is filed under the name uncultured bacterium. RNAcentral describes it as "bacterial SSU rRNA". It matches the Rfam family "Bacterial small subunit ribosomal RNA", at positions 29 to 500 of the family's 1533-position model. The record is from RNAcentral.